UUCCAUGAAGGCGACCAUCGGCGAGAGAUUGGCGGGAUCGAGCGCCCGCCUCCAUGACGUGAUGAAAUGAUCGGCGACGACCGGGUUGCCGCUGGCGUAGGUGGCUCCCUCGCGGAGGG
RNAcentral lists this unclassified non-coding RNA (119 nucleotides) under plant metagenome. Its description in RNAcentral is "partial contains 5.8S ribosomal RNA, internal transcribed spacer 2, and large subunit ribosomal RNA". The record is from RNAcentral.